This 1456-nucleotide ribosomal RNA is filed under the name uncultured marine bacterium. RNAcentral's name for it is "16S ribosomal RNA". It matches the Rfam family "Bacterial small subunit ribosomal RNA". The record is from RNAcentral.
GAUGAACGCUGGCGGCGUGCUUAACACAUGCAAGUCGAACGAACCUUCGGGUUAGUGGCGGACGGGUGAGUAACGCGUGAGAAUCUACCCUCAGGAGGGGGAUAACGGUUGGAAACGACCGCUAAUACCCCAUAUGCCGAUAGGUGAAAUGAAUUUCGCCUGAGGAUGAGCUCGCGUCUGAUUAGCUUGUUGGUGAGGUAAUGGCUCACCAAGGCUUCGAUCAGUAGCUGGUCUGAGAGGAUGAUCAGCCACACUGGGACUGAGACACGGCCCAGACUCCUACGGGAGGCAGCAGUGGGGAAUUUUCCGCAAUGGGCGAAAGCCUGACGGAGCAACGCCGCGUGAGGGACGAAGGCCUCUGGGCUGUAAACCUCUUUUCUCAAGGAAGAAGAUAUGACGGUACUUGAGGAAUAAGCCACGGCUAAUUCCGUGCCAGCAGCCGCGGUAAUACGGGAGUGGCAAGCGUUAUCCGGAAUUAUUGGGCGUAAAGCGUCCGCAGGCGGCCUUUCAAGUCUGCUGUUAAAGCGUGGAGCUUAACUCCAUUAUGGCAGUGGAAACUGAUCGGCUUGAGUAUGGUAGGGGCAGAGGGAAUUCCCGGUGUAGCGGUGAAAUGCGUAGAUAUCGGGAAGAACACCAGUGGCGAAGGCGCUCUGCUGGGCCAUUACUGACGCUCAUGGACGAAAGCCAGGGGAGCGAAAGGGAUUAGAUACCCCUGUAGUCCUGGCCGUAAACGAUGAACACUAGGUGUCGGGGGAAUCGACCCCUUCGGUGUCGUAGCUAACGCGUUAAGUGUUCCGCCUGGGGAGUACGCACGCAAGUGUGAAACUCAAAGGAAUUGACGGGGGCCCGCACAAGCGGUGGAGUAUGUGGUUUAAUUCGAUGCAACGCGAAGAACCUUACCAGGGUUUGACAUCCUGAGAACCUCUUAGAAAUUUGAGGGUGCCUUCGGGAAUUCAGUGACAGGUGGUGCAUGGCUGUCGUCAGCUCGUGUCGUGAGAUGUUGGGUUAAGUCCCGCAACGAGCGCAACCCACGUUUUUAGUUGCCAGCAUUUAGUUGGGCACUCUAGAAAGACCGCCGGUGAUAAACCGGAGGAAGGUGUGGAUGACGUCAAGUCAUCAUGCCCCUUACACCCUGGGCUACACACGUACUACAAUGCUACGGACAAAGGGCAGCAAACUCGCGAGAGCUAGCAAAUCCCAUAAACCGUGGCUCAGUUCAGAUCGUAGGCUGCAACUCGCCUACGUGAAGUAGGAAUCGCUAGUAAUCGCAGGUCAGCAUACUGCGGUGAAUACGUUCCCGGGCCUUGUACACACCGCCCGUCACACCAUGGAAGUUGGCCAUGCCCGAAGUCGUUACUCCAACCCUUGUGGAGGAGGACGCCGAAGGUGGGGCUAAUGACUGGGGUGAAGUCGUAACAAGGUAGCCGUACCGGAAGGUGCGGCUGGAUCACCUCCU